Paramuricea clavata is the source of this 533-nucleotide non-coding RNA. Lineage: Eukaryota; Metazoa; Cnidaria; Anthozoa; Malacalcyonacea; Plexauridae. The record is from the annotation of a GenBank genome assembly.
CCCCCCCCAUUUUUACCCAGGCGUUAUAGUGUUAAUUAUUAAAUAAGAAUAUGGAACUGGCAAGAUAUUAACGUCGAACAAAAAUAUAUAUUAUAAUAUUAGCAGAAAAUUAUAAUUAAAAGAGGAGUAAUUUUAUAUAGAACACUAAAAUCGGGUUUCCAUUUGGUCUGGGCGAUUGUAACCAUGGUUAAGGCUGCAACUAGACUUGAUGGUAUGAAGUAUUGCCAUAGCAGCUGCGCGGCAACAAUGAGAGCAACAAUCAGUAAUAUUAGCAGCAAAAGGAGAUAGCAAUGACAAUUCUGCCAAGGCAUACCUACGAAAUACAAUGUAUAGUGGUCUAUACAUCCUACUUUAUAUGAGAUUAAAAAUUAUAUAAAAUAAAAUGAUAUAUACUACUAGAAUGAACAUGGGUGGGUGGGUGGGGAAAAGGUAUCGAAGCGCUAAACUUGCUGCAGCUAGGCAAAGCAUACAAUGGCAGAAUGAAUACCCAGACCGAAGCGCUGAUCACAAGGCAUCAAACAACCCCCUUUGAU